ACGAACGCUGGCGGCGUGCUUAACACAUGCAAGUCGAACGAGAAAACCCGCAAGGGUGAGUAGAGUGGCGCACGGGUGAGUAAUAGAUAGGAACGUACCGAACAGAGGGGGAUAACUGCGGGAAACUGCAGCUAAUACCGCGUAUGACGAAAGUUGAAAGAGGGCCUAUGCUUGCAUGCUCUCGCUGUUUGAUCGGCCUAUCUCCCAUUAGCUAGUUGGCGGGGUAAGAGCCCACCAAGGCUUCGAUGGGUAGCUGGUCUGAGAGGAUGAUCAGCCACACUGGAACUGAGACACGGUCCAGACUCCUACGGGAGGCAGCAGUGGGGAAUCUUGCACAAUGGGCGCAAGCCUGAUGCAGCAACGCCGCGUGAGUGAAGAAGGCCCUUGGGUUGUAAAGCUCUUUCGGCCGGGAAGAAGGGUUCGUGGGUGAAUAAUCCACGGAUUUGACGGUACCGGAGUAAGAAGCACCGGCUAAUUCCGU
This 481-nucleotide ribosomal RNA is filed under the name uncultured bacterium. RNAcentral's name for it is "bacterial SSU rRNA". It matches the Rfam family "Bacterial small subunit ribosomal RNA", at positions 29 to 506 of the family's 1533-position model. The record is from RNAcentral.